ACUCAAAGGAAUUGACGGGGACCCGCACAAGCGGUGGAGCAUGUGGUUUAAUUCGAUACUAACCGAAGAACCUUACCCAGGUUUGACAUCGAUCGCAAAGCGUUGAAAGGCGCUCCUCCCCCACAAGGGGACGUGAAGACAGAUGUUGCAUGGCUGUCGUCAGCUCGUGCCGUGAGGUGUACGGUUAAGUCCGCCAACGAGCGCAACCCACGUUCUGUGUUACCAGCGAGUAAAGUCGGGCACUCACAGGAGACCGCCGGUGUAAGCCGGAGGAAGGUGUGGAUGACGUCAAGUCAGCAUGGCUCUUACGCCUGGGGCUACACACAUGCUACAAUGGGCGCAACAAAGGGCAGCAAUACCGCGAGGUGGAGCCAAUCCCAAAAAUACGCCCCCAGUUCAGAUUGUAGUCUGCAACUCGACUACAUAAAGUCGGAAUCGCUAGUAAACGCAGGUCAGCUAUACUGCGUUGAAUACGUUCCCGGGUCUUGCACACACCGCCCGU
Molecule: ribosomal RNA, 502 nt
Filed under: uncultured bacterium
Lineage: Bacteria
Description: partial 16S ribosomal RNA
Rfam family: Bacterial small subunit ribosomal RNA
Source: RNAcentral